Molecule: ribosomal RNA, 492 nt
Filed under: uncultured bacterium
Lineage: Bacteria
Description: partial 16S ribosomal RNA
Rfam family: Bacterial small subunit ribosomal RNA
Source: RNAcentral
AGUGAACGCUGGCGGUAGGCCUAACACAUGCAAGUCGAACGGCAGCACAGUAAGAGCUUGCUCUUACGGGUGGCGAGUGGCGGACGGGUGAGGAAUACAUCGGAAUCUACUUUUUCGUGGGGGAUAACGUAGGGAAACUUACGCUAAUACCGCAUACGACCUACGGGUGAAAGCAGGGGAUCUUCGGACCUUGCACGAUUGAAUGAGCCGAUGUCGGAUUAGCUAGUUGGCGGGGUAAAGGCCCACCAAGGCGACGAUCCGUAGCUGGUCUGAGAGGAUGAUCAGCCACACUGGAACGGGACCCCGGCCCAGCCCCCUCCGGGGGGCAGCAGUGGGGAUUUUUGGACAAGGGGCGCAAGCCUGAUCCACCCCUACCGCGUGGGUAAAGACGGCCUUCGGUUUGUAAAGCCCUUUUGUUGGGAAAAAAAAGCAGCAGUUUAGUCCCCCGCUGUUCUGACGGUCCCAAAAAAAUAAGCCCCGGCUAACUUCGUG